CUCCCCCACCCACGACAGUCUUACUUUCACUUUCAGCGGUGCUCGUGGCACAGGAGCUAUUUCAGGAGAUUCUGAAAUUAUCUUGUGUGUCCAGCAGAGGGACGUUAUGCUGAUUUAAGUAGCAGGUGAAGUCACAGGUUUUAAACCAGCAGCUGGUCUCCAGUGAGUCCCUGACGUUUCCAGAGUGACAUUAUGGGAAUUUCAUCAUCUAAUCAGCCUGAUAGUGGCAGUGGCAGCAGCAGCAGAGGUGGCGGCG
Non-coding RNA from Plectropomus leopardus (leopard coralgrouper), 256 nucleotides. Lineage: Eukaryota; Metazoa; Chordata; Actinopteri; Perciformes; Serranidae. The record is from RefSeq and is a predicted model, not a curated record.